GAUGAACGCUGGCGGCGUGCUUAACACAUGCAAGUCGAACGGAAAGGCCAGUGCUUGCACUGGUGCUCGAGUGGCGAACGGGUGAGUAACACGUGGGUGAUCUGCCCUGCACUUUGGGAUAAGCCUGGGAAACUGGGUCUAAUACCAGAUAGGACCAUGCUUUGGAUGGUGUGGUGGAAAGUUUUUUCGGUGUGGGAUGAGCUUGCGGCCUAUCAGCUUGUUGGUGGGGUAAUGGCCUACCAAGGCGUCGACGGGUAGCCGGCCUGAGAGGGUGUACGGCCACAUUGGGACUGAGAUACGGCCCAGACGCCUACGGGAGGCAGCAGUGGGGAAUAUUGCACAAUGGGCGCAAGCCUGAUGCAGCGACGCCGCGUGGGGGAUGACGGCCUUCGGGUUGUAAACUCCUUUCGCAACUGACGAAGCUUUUUGUGACGGUAGGCUGAGAAGAAGCACCGGCUAACUACGUG
This 467-nucleotide ribosomal RNA is filed under the name uncultured bacterium. RNAcentral's name for it is "partial 16S ribosomal RNA". It matches the Rfam family "Bacterial small subunit ribosomal RNA", at positions 28 to 507 of the family's 1533-position model. The record is from RNAcentral.